Long non-coding RNA from Gorilla gorilla gorilla (western lowland gorilla), 3013 nucleotides. RefSeq lists it as uncharacterized. Lineage: Eukaryota; Metazoa; Chordata; Mammalia; Primates; Hominidae. The record is from RefSeq and is a predicted model, not a curated record. The transcript is spliced from 7 exons.
GGGACAGCCCCGUGGUUGUGGGUGUCCCCCGGCGCCGGAAACUGGGCGCACACACCCUCGGAUUGACGUGCGCACGCGCACCGGUUACCUUCAGGAGCGCCGAAGAAGGAAAGAAGAACACAGAGCCCGAGGCAAAGCUUAAGUGCUUACGCUUUUUUCGGGAGGUACAGACCCAGCUCUGCGAGAGCCAGGGGAAAAGGAAGAGAGGCAGGGAAAGAAUGGCAGCAAGUACAAGGUGAUGAAUGACUGCACUGGCCAUUGCUUCAUGAAGAGCCAUGAAAAAACAGAGCCAGUUUCUCAGCAGGUGGCUGGCUGCUCAGUCACAAAGGACCUCUUUGGACAGGCUUUAUGGAAAUACUGUGCCUAGGACAGUCGCUCAAAGGCAGGAGGGAGAGAAAAUGCAUCUGCAAGCUCACUUUGUCUUCUUUCUUCUGCUGGUCCAAAUUUGCUGGCUGGGGCAGUUAACGCCCUCACAAAUCCAAGUUGUGUCACCUGGCCCCUUUGGUAGCCACUGGGGAAGCCAGAUCUAGGCAUGUGGCCUGAUGGCUCCUGCGGUGGAACCACAUGCUCACACUCAGUCAGUCACCACUGGGAUGGCCUGGGCAGGGCAGGCUGAGUGGCUGGGAGAUAGCUGAGCCUAAGAUAUCUAAGCAAGCACCUGUGAUGUAUGCACUGCAGUGUCCAAAUGUGAAAAAGCAAGAAAGGGAGAUAGAAGCAUAUUUUUUUCUGGAGAGAAGGAGGAAACCACCAGGAUAAUACAAACAGAAAAAAGAAUAUCAGCUUCCUGAGAGUGUAAAGCUCGUGUCUGUUCUGUUGUCUGCUGUUUCCCUGGUGCCUGACACAGUGACUGCCACAUGAGAAGAGCCCCUAAAAUAGUGAAAUAAAUGAAGAAUCACAUGAGUGAAAUCCUCUUGGUACCUGAGUAUGGGCAAAGCUGGAAAACAGUGAUGGAGUUUUCCAUAGCAGCAUCCUAAGAAGACACCCUUAAGUGGGUGAGAACGCAUUUUGAGGACAUCAGCAAACACAGCCUAAGAGGGGCUUAAAUGGUGAUAUCACCUGGGCUUGCUUUCUCAGCUUGCAAGCUUUGAUGAAGCAGCCAUGUUGGGGAGGCCCAUAUGGCAAGAAACCAAAGUCAGUCUCCAGGCAAUAGCCAACAAAGAACUGAGGUCCUCAGUCCAAUAGCCCACAAAGAACUGAAUCCUACCAAUAACCACUUGAGUUUGGAAAUGGAUCCCUUACCAAUUGAGCCUUCAGAUUAGACCCCAGCCUUGGUUGACACCUUCACUGUAGCCUUUUAUGUAAGAUCCUGAAGCAGAUGAUGCAACUAAACUGUGCCUGGACUUCUGAUGCACAGAACCCGUGAGAUAAUAAAUACUGCCAGCUCCAUGACAGCAAGAACCUUGUAUGACUUUUUCAUGAUGGAUGUUCAUCUGUGCCAUCUGUAAAUAUUUAAUAAAUAUUUGUGGAAUACAUGAAUCCAAAAGUGAAUGGAAUGAUAAAGAGGGAAAGGAUCAUGACAUCUACUACAGCAUUUGGCACAGACCCAGGUUUCCCUGGUACUGGUAAUUCCCAGCAGCUUUCUACAAUUCCAAAGGUCAGAAAUAAACUGCCAAAAAAAUUUUACUAAAUCAUGUUCUGGUCUGGGAUACAGCCCUGAAAUGCACUUUGAGCAAGAAAGACUUUGUAGAGGAGAAAAAAGGUGGACCAGUGAGGAUUGGGCUAGAACCAGAGGAAAGUGAACAUUCUUGGUUUAGAUAAAUAUCCACAAUCUUCUAAGGUUUUCAUGUGUACUACAGAGAAGCUCCAGGCUCCUACAUUUCCCUGUGGGUAGUUUUAAAAAGCUGUAGCAAAACAGAGGCUGGUGGUGACUAUGCUUAUCUUUUAGAAGAGCCAUCAUUGCAUUUCUGCAGCACAGAAUAUAUACGUGUUUUUUACUCUUAGUGGUGGAGUUUAUAUGUGAUUCAUGAUGUUUAGUUGUUAAUCAUCCAGUGACACUAAAUACUGCUUAGUUAGCUCAGUAUGCCCUUUAGGAAACCAGAUAUUGCUAAAGUCACUGUUCGACUUAAUGGGGAAAAUUCCACUAACAUCUAAAAUAUGUGAUUUAUAAUUCAAAAAUGUAAAUCCUGUAUUGGUAUUACAUACUAUAAAAGGACAAUUGUCUACAUAAUUACAUAACAUGCAUGUAAGGAUCAAUAUUUAAUUAAGACUAUUGGUGUAUUCUCAUUGGGAGUUAGAGCCCAAUAUUCUCAAUUGGGUGAGAAUUUCAGCCAAAUGGUCUAUCCAUUUUCUUUUCUUUCUUUUUUUUUUUUUUUCUUGAGACAGAUCUUGCUUUGCUGCCCAGGCUGGAGUGCAAUGGUGUGAUUUUGGCUCACUGCAACUUCCGCCUCCUGGGUUCAAGCGAUUCUCCUGUCUCAGACUCCCGAAUAGCUGGGAUUACAGGUGCGCACCACCAUGCCUGGCUAAUUUUUGUAUUUUUAGUAGAGAUGGGGUUUCACCAUGUUGGUCAGGCUGGUGUCAAACUCCUGACCUCAGGUGAUCUGCCUGCCUCGGCCUCCCAAAGUGGUGGGAUUACAGGCGUGAGCCACUGUGCCUGGCCAGUCUAUCCAUUUUCUAUUUCCCCAAAGUAACUUGUGAGAAAUGUCUUAGGCUAGAAUUUGCUUAUAUAUUUUCCAUCUUGCACAUGGUUAAAACGUGCAGUUUCCUAAACUGGUGGUUCUUGAACAUCAGUGUGCAUUAGAAUCACCUGGAGGGCUGGUUAAAACACAGAUUGCCAGGCCGUUCUCAGGGUUUCUGAUUUAGUUAAGUCUGGCGGUUGGACCCGAGAAUCUGCAUUUCUAACCAGUGAUCCCAAGUGAUGCUGAUGCUGCAGGUCUGGGGACCAAUGUCUUGAACUAACAGCUCUGAAUAAAGAUCUAAUUGGAUUCUGAAUGCCACAGAUGCAGUUUGGAGAUUGUUUUUCAAAGCAGAAUAUCCAUUUGUGGAAUAAAACAGUUUAUCAUUGUUAUUACCUGAA